RNAcentral lists this ribosomal RNA (1576 nucleotides) under human gut metagenome. Its description in RNAcentral is "bacterial LSU rRNA". It matches the Rfam family "Bacterial large subunit ribosomal RNA", at positions 1343 to 2925 of the family's 2925-position model. The record is from RNAcentral.
ACCCAAGGUUUCCAGAGGAAGGUUCGUCCGCUCUGGGUAAGUCGGGACCUAAGGCGAGGCCGAGAGGCGUAGUCGAUGGACAACAGGUAGAGAUUCCUGUACUUACGGUAUGAAUGAUGGAGUGACGGAGAAGGCUAGCGGAUCCUGCUGAUGGAAAUGCAGGUGCAAGCGAGGUAGCCGACAGCCAGGCAAAUCCGGCUGUCGAAAGGCAAAGGCGUGAGGCGUAUGGAAAGCUGCGGCAAGUACAGAAGUCCGUGAAGCCAGCUUCCAAGAAAAGCUUCUAGUGAUAAUCAUACAGUAACCCGUACCGAAAAUGGACACACAUGGGUGAGGAGAGAAUCCUAAGGUGAGCGAGAGAACUAUAGCUAAGGAACUCUGCAAAAUGACUCCGUAACUUAGGGAUAAGGAGUGCUCAUAGAGAUAUGAGCCGCAGUGAAACGGCCCAAGCGACUGUUUACCAAAAACACAGCUCUAUGCUAAGUCGAAAGACGACGUAUAUGGGGUGACGCCUGCCCGGUGCUGGAAGGUUAAGAGGAUGUGUCAGCGCAAGCGAAGCAUUGAAUUGAAGCCCCAGUAAACGGCGGCCGUAACUAUAACGGUCCUAAGGUAGCGAAAUUCCUUGUCAGGUAAGUUCUGACCCGCACGAAAGGCGUAACGAUUUGGGCGCUGUCUCAGCUGUAGACUCGGUGAAGUCUUAGUACCUGUGAAGAUGCAGGUUACCCGCGACUAGACGGAAAGACCCCAUGGAGCUUUACUGUAGCUUGAUAUUGGACUUUGAUGCAAGAUGUACAGGAUAGGUAGGAGACUGAGAGACAUGCACGCCAGUGUGUGAGGAGUCAAUGUUGGGAUACUACUCUUCUUGUAUUGGAGUUCUAACCGGAUGCCAUGGAACUGGCAACGGGACAGUGUCAGGUGGGCAGUUUGACUGGGGCGGUCGCCUCCCAAAGAGUAACGGAGGCGCCCAAAGAUACCCUCAGCUUGGAUGGAAAUCAAGCGCAGAGUGCAAAGGCAUAAGGGUGUUUGACUGCGAGACCUACAAGUCGAGCAGGGACGAAAGUCGGGCUUAGUGAUCCGGCGGUGCUGAAUGGAAAGGCCGUCGCUCAACGGAUAAAAGCUACCCUGGGGAUAACAGGCUGAUCUCCCCCAAGAGUUCACAUCGACGGGGAGGUUUGGCACCUCGAUGUCGGCUCAUCGCAUCCUGGAGCUGAAGUCGGUUCCAAGGGUUGGGCUGUUCGCCCAUUAAAGCGGUACGCGAGCUGGGUUCAGAACGUCGUGAGACAGUUCGGUCCCUAUCUGUCGUGGGCGUAGGAAGUUUGAGAAGAUCUGUCCUCAGUACGAGAGGACCGGGAUGGACAUAUCAAUGGUGCACCAGUUGUCACGCCAGUGGCACAGCUGGGUAGCUAAAUAUGGAAGGGAUAAACGCUGAAGGCAUCUAAGUGUGAAACCCACUUCAAGAUGAGACUUCCCAUUACGCAAGUAAGUAAGACCCCUUAAAGACGAUAAGGUUGAUAGGUCAGGAGUGUAAGCAUGGCGACAUGUUCAGCGGACUGAUACUAAUAGGUCGAGGACUUAACCU